CCUACGGGGGGCUGCAGUGAGGAAUAUUGGUCAAUGGACGAGAGUCUGAACCAGCCAAGUAGCGUGAAGGAUGACUGCCCUAUGGGUUGUAAACUUCUUUUAUAUGGGAAUAAAAUGUUCCACGUGUGGGAUUUUGUAUGUACCAUAUGAAUAAGGAUCGGCUAACUCCGUGCCAGCAGCCGCGGUAAUACGGAGGAUCCGAGCGUUAUCCGGAUUUAUUGGGUUUAAAGGGAGCGUAGGUGGAUUGUUAAGUCAGUUGUGAAAGUUUGCGGCUCAACCGUAAAAUUGCAGUUGAAACUGGCAGUCUUGAGUACAGUAGAGGUGGGCGGAAUACGUGGUGUAGCGGUGAAAUGCUUAGAUAUCACGAAGAACUCCGAUUGCGAAGGCAGUUCACUGGACUGCAACUGACACUGAGGCUCGAAAGUGUGGGUAUCAAACAGGAUUAGAUACCCUAGUAGUC
RNAcentral lists this ribosomal RNA (460 nucleotides) under uncultured bacterium. RNAcentral describes it as "partial 16S ribosomal RNA". It matches the Rfam family "Bacterial small subunit ribosomal RNA", at positions 338 to 795 of the family's 1533-position model. The record is from RNAcentral.